This 253-nucleotide ribosomal RNA is filed under the name uncultured bacterium. Its description in RNAcentral is "partial 16S ribosomal RNA". It matches the Rfam family "Bacterial small subunit ribosomal RNA", at positions 524 to 776 of the family's 1533-position model. The record is from RNAcentral.
UACGUAGGUGGCAAGCGUUGUCCGGAAUUAUUGGGCGUAAAGCGCGCGCAGGCGGUUUCUUAAGUCUGAUGUGAAAGCCCACGGCUCAACCGUGGAGGGUCAUUGGAAACUGGGAGACUUGAGUGCAGAAGAGGAGAGUGGAAUUCCACGUGUAGCGGUGAAAUGCGUAGAGAUGUGGAGGAACACCAGUGGCGAAGGCGACUCUCUGGUCUGUAACUGACGCUGAUGUGCGAAAGCGUGGGGAUCAAACAGG